UCAUUGUUAAUUUCUAUCUUGUCCUGAGUUCUAAAGGUUUCCUACGGCCUGGAUGUGCGUGAACUUUCAGAUUUCGCUCUCUGUGGAAACUCCUGGCCUUGUCACCACUGUGCCACUAGGCUCCCUCGUGAAGCAGGUCUAGCCUUGCAAGGAGAUAUUUUCAAAGUAACCAGAGUUUUCGGCCCCAGAGCAGAGAAUGAUCACCAUAACACAGGCAGCGUCCAUCCCUAGCCCCUGCUGACCAAAUGGCAUGCAGGAGAAAUGAGGUGGCUGGAAGAUGUCUCCGUGGAAUAGAGGUUCCUAGACUCAUGAACCUUAGGGAGGAAGAAACAAAUGGCUCUCUCCUUGGGGAACUUUCUCACUCUUCUCCGGCACCGCUCCUGCCUUUCCAGAGAAUGGGGUCUGCUUGUUUGCAAAUCCAGAGUACCAACUGGGUCAACCGAUGGAUCUUUGUGGAACUCCUCUGAUAAGCCUACAGUGGUUCAAGCACCGUACAGGCAGACUGAAGACAGAAAGAAGUGUGAGUCACAGAGUCUCUUCCAAAUUUCAGACCUGUGGCAGCUUCCCAGAGGCUGGAGUAGACCAGAAGAGAAUGACUAAGGCAUGAUGUUCUGGGAGUUACAGUCCUGGCACGUAAUUGUGAAUAUGGCACAAAAUGAGGCGGUGGGUGUCCAGACUGCACCUAACAAUGGGAGCCUGAGAGCAAAUGGCUGGAAGGUCAGGAAGGCAGGAGACUGUCAGUAGCAAGAGCAGGUCUGGGGUGACGUUGGCUCCUUGAGAAAUGAAAACUUCAUCAUAAGAAUCUGUGAAAAUGGGGAAAAUGGGUAAAUGAGGACAGAUUCAAAAUUGGAAGAAAACAGAAAAAUCUCUGUUCUUUUUUUCUAAUUGUUCUUUUAAUGAAAUCAGUACUGCCCUUUGGCAUUAACGA
RNAcentral lists this long non-coding RNA (928 nucleotides) under Homo sapiens (human). RNAcentral describes it as "HSALNT0293599". Lineage: Eukaryota; Metazoa; Chordata; Mammalia; Primates; Hominidae. The record is from RNAcentral.